This 302-nucleotide ribosomal RNA is filed under the name uncultured bacterium. RNAcentral's name for it is "partial 16S ribosomal RNA". It matches the Rfam family "Bacterial small subunit ribosomal RNA", at positions 508 to 807 of the family's 1533-position model. The record is from RNAcentral.
GCAGCAGCCGCGGUAAUACAGAGGGUGCGAGCGUUAAUCGGAUUUACUGGGCGUAAAGCGUGCGUAGGCGGCUAAUUGAGUCGGAUGUGAAAUCCCCGAGCUUAACUUGGGAAUUGCAUUCGAUACUGGUUAGCUAGAGUGUGGGAGAGGAUGGUAGAAUUCCAGGUGUAGCGGUGAAAUGCGUAGAGAUCUGGAGGAAUACCGAUGGCGAAGGCAGCCAUCUGGCCUAACACUGACGCUGAGGUACGAAAGCAUGGGGAGCAAACAGGAUUAGAUACCCGGGUAGUCCCUGUCUCUUAUAC